UAUAAAUAAAUCGAUUUUUGUUUGUCAUUUUUAAUGAAGGAAGAAUUCAUAAGUUGUAUGAUGAUUUUUACAUACAGAAUGCAACAGGUCAUAAAACAAUCGCGUUAGGAAAAAAUACUCUGUUAUAAAAGACGAUGACUUGGCGUUUCGGAGACGAAAUUCAAGAUUGACUCUAUUACAAGUGGGAAAAAAAACCGACGAAUGAGAAAAUGAUGGUUCAUGUUUACGACAGAUCAUGCGGGGAUUUUAUCAUCAGAGAUAAAUUUAUUUGCUUAUGCGGCUGAUUAUACCUUGAUUUCCCUCCCUACAGUCUUCAAAAUUAAUCACGAAAUUUUAAUAUUCACGGUUUCCUACAUUCUUCAAAAAUUCAUGGAAUUUCAGUCAUUAAUUCCCCGAUUAUUCAUUAAUUUCAGGGAUAACUCAACUGAAAUUCAGGAUUUUCUAUGAGUUUUUCCGUGAUAUUGUGGAUUAUAAAUAAAAAAAUUUUCAUAUUUCAGUUAAAUUCAAAUCAAUCAAUCAGAUAGGAUGACUUGUAGAUUUCCAGACUAUGAGUGAUGGUUAAAUAAUUCAGAGGAAGAACUGCAACGACUGCGAUUAGAAGGUUGUUUCAAGGCAAAAUAAAUAAUUCUUCCGGCGAAAAGAUGCGGUUGGAAUCCCGAGAAUGCAACGAACGAAGUGGAGCAUUCGCCGGGAAAUGCCCUCGCUGUGAAUUUCCCCGCUUGUGAUGGCUCACACUGAAUGCGGGGAGUGGAAGAUACAAUCGAUGGGGAAAUUAAUUGUGAUGUAAUGAACAACAAAGAUUCUUCCGUUAUGACUUCCGUCCUGAGGCUUUAUAAACAUUCUCGGAUGUCAAUCCAUGAACAAAGUGUUAACGAGAAAACAAUUCGCGACUUCAGAAGGAAAAAUCGACAUUUGGAGUUUCUCAGGAUUUUUGAGGAGGAGAAUUUUUUUUUCUGUGAAUCUGAGAGAGAUAAUUCAAUUAUUAAAAAUUUCUAAUUGAAGAUUUUAUUUAUGUAUAGAUUUACUAUUGGAUUCUAGUUGUUUUUAUCGUGCAAUCGGAGGAAGACCUUGGAGAAGAAUUUUGAGAAUUCGGAAUUGUUUAACUCGAGGAGAAAUACUAGACUACUGGACAAUUUCAUUUAAUGAAAAAGAUCACACGGGUCAAUCACAAACAGACAACAGGUCCAAUUGUGGAGUCAAGCGAAUAAUUCUCAUUAGAAAAGGCCGGGAUUUAUAAAUUUUCCGUGUCCCCGGAUUCUGUCUCCUUUAAAUGAAGCAACUGGAAUGAUGACUUGCGAUAUAAUUCCCCGAUAAUGACUACAAAUCAAGAAAGAUGACGAGUUGCCUCGGGUCACGAGAUAAACCACAAGAACCGCCAAAUGUUUUUUCAACUCAAACAUCAACCUGCAAUUGUUGAAGCAACGAAAUAAAAAAUGAUUAAUGACUCAUUAAGCAGCUGACAGCUAGAUGAUCGGUAAUUUCGAGGUCGAGCGUUUUGCAUGGAAGUCUUCACUCGUUUAUCAACAACAGAAUGCACUUGAUGAAUUUUCUAGGGACACUGGGGGGAAUCAAUUAAUUUUUGGAGAUUUUUUUU
Molecule: long non-coding RNA, 1594 nt
Organism: Fopius arisanus
Lineage: Eukaryota; Metazoa; Arthropoda; Insecta; Hymenoptera; Braconidae
Exons: 4
Source: RefSeq, a predicted model, not a curated record